Molecule: unclassified non-coding RNA, 588 nt
Filed under: Hevea brasiliensis (rubber tree)
Lineage: Eukaryota; Viridiplantae; Streptophyta; Magnoliopsida; Malpighiales; Euphorbiaceae
Source: RNAcentral
AUGGAUUCUGCAGGAUUCUCUAUGAAGCUGUGGCCCCCAAGUUCGAGUACCAGGCUAAUGCUCGUGGAGAGAAUGACGAAGAACCUUUCCACCGAAUCCAUUUUUUCCCGAAAGUACGGCCUCCUGAGCAAAGAAGAAGCUAGCGAACACGCUAAACAUAUAGAGGAAACAUGUUUCACUUUCGCAAGCGAACAUUUCAAGGAGGAGCCUGAUGGUGACGGGAGCGCUGCAGUACAGCUUUACGCCAAGGAAACCAGUAAGCUCAUGCUUGAAGUUCUUAAGCGUGGAUCAAGCGGCAGACCAAAGGAUAAUGGAGAUCUUAUUGCUCGCUCGCCAGCGAAAACCUUUUUUGACAUCUCCGGUGGUAAGAGGAGCUUUAUCGAAGCUGAGGAGGCCAGGGAGCUUCUGAGUCCGCUAGCCGAGGACGGGAAUUCGUACACCAAAAUAUGCUUCAGCAAUCGAAGCUUCGGUACCGAUGCAGCCAAUGUUGCCGGCCCAAUCAUAUCUGCUCUCAAAGGACAGUUGACUCAAGUAGACCUCUCCGACUUUGUUGCCGGCAGGCCAGAGGAGGAAGCUCUUGAAGUCAUG